GAUGAACGCUAGCGGCAGGCUUAACACAUGCAAGUCGAGGGGUAUUGGUUUUCGGACCAAGAGACCGGCGCACGGGUGCGUAACGCGUAUGCAAUCUACCUUUUGCAGAGGGAUAGCCCCAGAGAAAUUUGGAUUAAUACCUCAUAGUAUAGUACUUUGGCAUCAAGGAACUAUUAAAGUCACAACGGCAAAGAUGAGCAUGCGUCCCAUUAGCUAGUUGGUAAGGUAACGGCUUACCAAGGCUACGAUGGGUAGGGGUCCUGAGAGGGAGAUCCCCCACACUGGUACUGAGACACGGACCAGACUCCUACGGGAGGCAGCAGUGAGGAAUAUUGGACAAUGGGCGCAAGCCUGAUCCAGCCAUGCCGCGUGCAGGAUGACGGUCCUAUGGAUUGUAAACUGCUUUUAUACAGGAAGAAACACUCCGACGUGUCGGAGCUUGACGGUACUGUAAGAAUAAGGAAUCGGCUAAACUCUGUGCCAGCAGCCG
RNAcentral lists this ribosomal RNA (490 nucleotides) under uncultured bacterium. RNAcentral's name for it is "bacterial SSU rRNA". It matches the Rfam family "Bacterial small subunit ribosomal RNA", at positions 28 to 517 of the family's 1533-position model. The record is from RNAcentral.